This 456-nucleotide ribosomal RNA is filed under the name uncultured bacterium. Its description in RNAcentral is "bacterial SSU rRNA". It matches the Rfam family "Bacterial small subunit ribosomal RNA", at positions 28 to 524 of the family's 1533-position model. The record is from RNAcentral.
GAUGAACGCUGGCGAAAUGCUUUACACAUGCAAGUCGUACGAAAGCUUUUAGCUUAAGUGGCGGACGGGUGAGUAAUACGUAAGAAUUUGCCUUUAGGAGGGGGAUAACAGCUGGAAACGGUUGCUAAUACCCCAUAUGCUUUUAAGUGAAAUGGGUUUCCGCCUAAAGAAAAGCUUACGGCUGAUUAGCUUGUUGGUAAGGUAAUGGCUUACCAAGGCGACAAUCAGUAUCUGGUUUGAGAGGAUGAUCAGACACACUGGAACUGAGACACGGUCCAGACUCCUACGGGAGGCAGCAGUGGGGAAUUUUCCGCAAUGGGCGCAAGCCUGACGGAGCAAUUUCGCGUGAAGGAUGACGGCCUAUGGGUUGUAAACUUCUUUUUUCAGGGUAGGAAUAAAAUGACGUGUACCUGAAGAAUAAGCAUCGGCUAACUCCGUGCCAGCCGCCGCGGUAAU